This 309-nucleotide ribosomal RNA is filed under the name uncultured eukaryote. RNAcentral describes it as "partial 18S ribosomal RNA". It matches the Rfam family "Eukaryotic small subunit ribosomal RNA", at positions 1470 to 1796 of the family's 1831-position model. The record is from RNAcentral.
CCCUUAGAUGUUCUGGGCGGCCCGCGCACUACAUUGGCACUCUCAAUAAGUUCCUAGAUCUAAAACUUUGGGGUAUUCUAUUAAGUGGUGUCGUGACUGGGAUUAACCCUUGCAAUUAUUUGUUACGAACGAGGAAUUCCUUGUAAUCGCGGUUUAUCAGCCCGCGUUGAAUGCGUCCCUGCCCUUUGUACACACCGCCCGUCGCUCCUACCGAUGAAUCGUCCGGUGAAGUUCAUGGAGUGGUGGUUGUUCCAGCUGCUGUCGAAGUGAAAUGGACCUCACGAUUUAGAGGAAGGAGAAGUCGUAACA